CUUUUGAUUUGUAUUUAAGGUCUAGCCUGCUCAAUGAGUUUUAAAUAGCCGCAGUAUCUUAACUGUGCAAAGGUAGCAUAAUCAGUAGUUUUUUAAUUGAAAGCUGGAAUGAAAGGUUGAAUGAGAAAAUAGCUGUCUCUAUAAAAAUUUUAUAGAAUUUUAUUUUUAAGUCAAAAAGCUUAAAUAUUAAUAAAAGACGAGAAGACCCUAUAGAGUUUUAUAUUUACUUGCAAGAUAAUCCUUUUAGAAUUUUAAAAUUUAUUUUUUAUAAUAUUUGGUUGGGGUGAUUAGAAAAUUGAAUAAACUUUUCUUUUAUAGGAACAUUUAUUUAUGAAAAAAUGAUCCAUUUUUAAAGAUUAUAAGAUCAAAUUACCUUAGGGAUAACAGCGUAAUUUUUUUUGAGAGUUCUUAUCGAAAAGAGAGAUUGCGACCUCGAUGUUGGAUUAAAAUGAAUUUUUGGUGUAGAAGCUAAA
Molecule: ribosomal RNA, 473 nt
Filed under: Ceutorhynchus symphyti
Lineage: Eukaryota; Metazoa; Arthropoda; Insecta; Coleoptera; Curculionidae
Description: partial 16S ribosomal RNA
Rfam family: Bacterial large subunit ribosomal RNA
Source: RNAcentral